RNAcentral lists this transfer RNA (83 nucleotides) under Mycoplasmopsis bovis. RNAcentral's name for it is "Mycoplasma bovis tRNA-Tyr". It matches the Rfam family "tRNA". Rfam says of the family: Transfer RNA (tRNA) molecules are approximately 80 nucleotides in length. Their secondary structure includes four short double-helical elements and three loops (D, anti-codon, and T loops). Further hydrogen bonds mediate the characteristic L-shaped molecular structure. tRNAs have two regions of fundamental functional importance: the anti-codon, which is responsible for specific mRNA codon recognition, and the 3' end, to which the tRNAs corresponding amino acid is attached (by aminoacyl-tRNA synthetases). tRNAs cope with the degeneracy of the genetic code in two manners: having more than one tRNA (with a specific anti-codon) for a particular amino acid; and 'wobble' base-pairing, i.e. permitting non-standard base-pairing at the 3rd anti-codon position. Lineage: Bacteria; Bacillati; Mycoplasmatota; Mycoplasmoidales; Metamycoplasmataceae. The record is from RNAcentral.
GGAGGGGUAGCGAAGCGACCAAACGCGGGUGGCUGUAACCCACUUCCUCACGGUUCGGGGGUUCGAAUCCUCCCCCUCCACCA